This is a long non-coding RNA of Sapajus apella (tufted capuchin), 1789 nucleotides long. RefSeq lists it as uncharacterized. The record is from RefSeq and is a predicted model, not a curated record. The transcript has 2 exons. NCBI's taxonomy places the organism in Eukaryota, Metazoa, Chordata, Mammalia, Primates, Cebidae.
AAGCAAGACUCUGUCUCAAAAAAAAAAAAAAACCAAAACAAACAAAAAAAAAAAACAGAGAGAGACAAGAUAUGGUUUUGAGCCAACAAGGCUUUAAGAGAUGUGGAGCCUAUUUCUGGUACAGACUUAUAGAUUCUAAAGAAGAUGUUUACCAGUGAGGCUAAACACCUGAUGCUGAGUCAAAAAUCUGAUACUAGAUGGAAAAAAAGAAAAAGAUAUAAGCUGAGCUUUACCCAAGUAAAGAAGUAGCCUUAAUAUCCAGCUAGUGGUCUGAUUCAGGCAAAUCAACAAGGUCAACCAGAAACAGAAAAGACAGAAGGGUAAGAUUUCCGAGGGCACAGAACUCAUCAACACUCCAGGAAAGAGGUAAACAGGGCAAAGGCAAGGUGAGUGUAGGAUUCUCUGAAAUGCAGGAGAGGAAUUCUUGGUGUCGUCAGGGAAGAAAGUUUUUUCCUUAUAUAGGGGAAAAAGGGCAAAAUUCUACAACUGUUAAGUCCAAUGCCGAAUGAAGUAAGAAUCUUUGCUUGGGUCCUAUCCAAGUAAAAUAAUGAAAGGCAUGUUUGAUUUCAGUUAUUCCCCCGAGGCAGGAUGAUACUUCACCAGUGCCUCUGGCCCAUAUCCCCACCUCCAAUUACCACCAGUAGCUCCUCCUUCCUACAUUCAUUCAAGAAUUCUGUGUGGCUCCACUGUUCACACUGUUACCAAAAAUAACUAGUGAUAGAUUAGAGAUAAUAAACAAUAGAUAGGAAAAAGCAGCACCUCAACUUAAACUAAAAACUGAAAACAGACCAACAGGAGAAGGAUCAUGGAGAAUUAAGUAGCAGAUCCUAGUCUCCUGCUCCCAGCUUUUCUAAUAUCUAGGUUGUCUGCUAGUCAUCUUUACUGGAGAAAGCUGUUAAGAUCAAAUAGGGAUCAGAGGAGAAUGAAGUCUCCAUCCUUUCUUCCCCAAAGGCCCCUUUGAGGAAACACUUCUCUCCAAAUUAAAAAGUAUUCCUGCCUUUUGGCCAGAACUGCCAUCUUCCAAUAAUUUGCCAAAAUGACGAACACAAAGGGAAAGAGGAGAGGCACCGGAUAUAUGUUCUCUAGGCCUUUUAGAAAACAUGGAGUUGUUCCUUUGGCCACGUAUAUGCAAAUCUAUAAGAAAGGUGAUAUUGUAGACAUCAAAGGAAUGGGUACUGUUCAAAAAGGAAUGUCCCACAAGUGUUACCAUGGCAAAACUGAAGAGUCUACAAUGUUACCCAGCAUGCUGUUGGCACUGUUGUAAACAAACAAGUUGAGGGCAUGAUUCUACCCAAGAGAAUUAAUGUGCUUAUUGAACACGUUAAGCACUAUAAGAGCUGAGAUAGCUUCCUGAAAUGCGUGAAGGAAAAUGAUCAGAAAAAGAAGCCAACUGAAGCACCAGCCUGCUCCACCCAGAGAAGCACACUUUGAGAGAACCAAUGUGAAGGAGCCUGAGCUGCUGGAACCUAUUCCCUAAGAAUUCGUGGCAUAAUAGGUGUUAAAAAAAAAAAAAAAAAGGCCUCUGGACUGUAAAAAUGUUUCUAUUCAUUGAGUGGAAGUGUGGUGUCCUCUCCCCCAAAGAAAUAUUUAAAGCAAAUUUUAAUUGUGUCCCAAUUCAUUAUGUAUUGUAUUUACUAUUCAAAUUUAAUUUAUUUCUUGCUGAAAGACGUGAGGUAGCUUAUUGCAAUAAAUUGCUCAAUUGGUUAGAAAAUGGACAGGUAUUACAUAUGAAAUAUUUGUACUUGUUUGAAGAUAGUCCCUCUAAAUCAUCAAGGAAGAAAUAAUUUAC